Molecule: ribosomal RNA, 431 nt
Filed under: Trichadenotecnum sclerotum
Lineage: Eukaryota; Metazoa; Arthropoda; Insecta; Psocodea; Psocidae
Description: partial 16S rRNA
Source: RNAcentral
UCCAGUCUGCUCACUGAUAAUUUAAAGAGCCGCAGUAUAUUGACUGUGCAAAGGUAGCAUAAUCAAUAGUUUUUUAAUUGAAAACUUGUAUGAAAGAUUAGACGAGAAAUUUAUUUUCUUUAUUUUAAAUAAUUAAAUUUUAAAUUUAAGUGAAAAUGCUUAAUUGAAUUUAAAAGACGAGAAGACCCUAUAGAUUUUUAUUAUUUAAAUAAAUUUAAUAAAAAAAUUUAGUAUAAUAAUUUCAUUGGGGUGAUUUUGUAAUAAAAUAAACUUAAUUUUUUAAAACCAUAAAUAAUUGAAAUUUUUGAUCUAAAUUUUUUAAUGAAAAGAUUAAAUUACCUUAGGGAUAACAGCGUAAUUUUUUUUAAGAGUUCAUAUCUAUAAAAAAGUUUGCGACCUCGAUGUUGAAUUAAGAUAAUAUAUUGAAGCAG